GAUGAACGCUAGCUACAGGCUUAACACAUGCAAGUCGAGGGGCAGCAUGUCGGUUGCUUGCAACCGAUGAUGGCGACCGGCGCACGGGUGAGUAACGCGUAUCCAACCUUCCCCAUAGUAGAGAAUAGCCCGGCGAAAGUCGGAUUAAUGCUCUAUGUUGUAUUUUGAUGACAUCAGAAGAAUACCAAAGGUUCACCGCUAUGGGAUGGGGAUGCGUCCGAUUAGCUUGACGGCGGGGUAACGGCCCACCGUGGCUACGAUCGGUAGGGGUUCUGAGAGGAAGGUCCCCCACACUGGAACUGAGACACGGUCCAGACUCC
This 320-nucleotide ribosomal RNA is filed under the name uncultured Bacteroidales bacterium. Its description in RNAcentral is "bacterial SSU rRNA". It matches the Rfam family "Bacterial small subunit ribosomal RNA", at positions 28 to 339 of the family's 1533-position model. Lineage: Bacteria; Pseudomonadati; Bacteroidota; Bacteroidia; Bacteroidales. The record is from RNAcentral.